RNAcentral lists this ribosomal RNA (433 nucleotides) under uncultured bacterium. RNAcentral describes it as "partial 16S ribosomal RNA". It matches the Rfam family "Bacterial small subunit ribosomal RNA", at positions 29 to 507 of the family's 1533-position model. The record is from RNAcentral.
AACGAACGCUGGCGGCAGGCCUAACACAUGCAAGUCGAGCGAGCAUUUCGGUGCUAGCGGCGGACGGGUGAGUAACGCGUGGGAACGUGCCCUUUUCUGCGGAAUAGUCCUGGGAAACUGGGGGUAAUACCGCAUACGCCCUUUUGGGGAAAGAUUUAUCGGAGAAGGAUCGGCCCGCGUUGGAUUAGGUAGUUGGUGGGGUAAUGGCCCACCAAGCCGACGAUCCAUAGCUGGUUUGAGAGGAUGAUCAGCCACACUGGGACUGAGACACGGCCCAGACUCCUACGGGAGGCAGCAGUGGGGAACCUUAGACAAUGGGGGCAACCCUGAUCUAGCCAUGCCGCGUGAGUGAUGAAGGCCUUAGGGUUGUAAAGCUCUUUCAGCUGGGAAGAUAAUGACGGUACCAGCAGAAGAAGCCCCGGCUAACUCCGUG